Molecule: long non-coding RNA, 1744 nt
Filed under: Marmota monax (woodchuck)
Lineage: Eukaryota; Metazoa; Chordata; Mammalia; Rodentia; Sciuridae
Source: RNAcentral
CUCUCCAUCCAGUAAUCAUAUUAAAAAGGGAGGAAAUAAAAAUCAACAUCCAUAUUAUAUAAAUAUUGGCUUGCUUUCUCUCCCAGAUCCUUCUUAGAAAAGAUAAAAGAUAAUCACUGAUCUAAGGCAGAGGAUUUCAGACAUUUGUUUAUUCAUCUAAUAAACAUUUAUUAAGCUGUUACUCUGAGCCAGACACUGUGCUAAGGUUGGUGAUGCAGCUGUGAACAAGUCGGAUGUUUUCCCUGCCCUCCCUAGAAAUGUCUGUUAUUGCCAGGCUCUCAAAGAGGCCUGUGGGUGGGGUGAGAGAGGAAAGCAGCUGCUGGGUAAGUGGUGGACAGAACAGAGCUGGGAAAUAGGGUGUGUAAAAAGUGGAAGCUUUUUAAGUUACUGAGAUUCUAAAAUCAAAUACAGCCAUCAAGGUCCAGACAGAUUGGGAAACUUUGAACUAUGUAACAAAUAAACCCUAAGAAACUGAAAUUUGGAGCAGCUCACUUUCUAAAACAUUUAGUAUUAAUAGACUUCAUGCCCAUAAUUCAAGUGCAUACUAAGGGUAGAUUUCACACAUUCUAGUUAAUUGCUCUAAAAAUGGCACUGUCAUCUAAAAUAAAUGUCUUUGAACUUAGAACUGCCAUAUAAGAAUUUUGAUUCUUUAGCCACGGGGGUGGGGGGUGGGGGGGCAUAGCAGAACAAUGAGUCAAUUUUUUACUACAUUGCCUAAGACUCAUGUUCUUUAGUGAGUUUUCAGAGAAUUGCUUGUGUAACAUCCAUCUCUCCCACUGUUUCUCCAGAGGGCUCAUAUUAAUCGUCUUCUGAAAGUCCUUCUUUGUUUAGGUGUGUGCUAUACCUGUGUUGACUCUUAUCCUGAUUUCUAAGUUAUUUAUAUUCCAUGCACAGAUCUCCAGAGGACUGUCGAGGGGAAUCAUAAAAUAAUCUGCCCAAGACUCCUGUUUAACCCUAAAUCAGUUUGGGGCAGCUCAUCUCUGAGUCUAAAAUUGGGUAGCCCCCACAGAAAGAGUGGGGGGAAAAGGAAUGUUUUUUUCUUCCCUUGGAGCUUGCUUCCUGCUGGAGCCUACUUCUGGGUGCCCAGCUUUCCUUCUCCCUUCUCUAUAUGGAUGCUACAUGGAAGGGUGAUUGUGCUCAAACUCAGAAGCUACAGGUGAGACCUCAGUUGCCCAAAAGGAAAUAAAUGUUUUCUUUUUCUUACUAUUGCUGUAUUAUUCUACUCUCCCUUUAUAUUUUCUUUCUGGUCUAUUUACUUCCUGGACUACUUUUACUAUUUUAUUUCUCCAUGUUUUAACUUCCUAUAUAAAUGUAUGUCACACUUUGAAAAGGAAACCCAUCUAAAUGAAUUAGACAAAUAUGUGAUGCCAGGUACACACAAAGGCACCCCCUUGGUUCAUUUAGUUUCUUGGUCAAACAUCAAUUUAGUAAGAAAGAAAGGCCUUACCCAACCCCUGCUUUCAUCUGACAUAGCUGUCUCUCCCAGUUGAUCACUUAACCUGCUGUAUUUUCCUUUGAAGCAUUUAUUGCUACCUGUCAAUUAUAUGUUAAUUUCUUAAUUGAUCAUAUUUUUCUCCUUGUGAAUACCAUGAUAUCAAUGACUCACUGAUAGAGCCCUAUAACCUAGAAUACUGCCUGCUACAUAGUAAACACUGUAAUGUUUCUCAACAAAGAAUACUUAAUAUGUUUUGAUGAUUAAGAAGCUUGAUGUUGGGCUGGGGAUGUGUCUCAAGCAGUAUCGCAC